AGAGUUGAUCCUGGCUCAGAACGAACGCUGGCGGCGCGUUUAAGCAUGCAAGUCGAGCGGCAAGGGCCUUCGGGCCCCUAGAGCGGCGGACGGGUGAGUAACACGUGGACAAUCUGCCCUCCGGCCCGGGAUAGCCCAGGGAAACCUGGAUUAAUACCGGAUGAGACGGGACCCGCGAAGGCGGGACCCGGGAAAGGCGCUGCGGCGCCGCCGGGGGAUGAGUCUGCGUCCCAUUAGCUAGACGGCGGGGUAACGGCCCACCGUGGCGACGAUGGGUAGCCGGCCUGAGAGGGUGGACGGCCACAUUGGAACUGAGACACGGUCCAGACUCCUACGGGAGGCAGCAGCUAAGAAUCUUCCGCAAUGGGCGAAAGCCUGACGGAGCCGACGCCGCGUGAACGAAGAAGGCCGUGAGGUUGUAAAGUUCUUUUCGGGAGGGGGAACAACCGUGGCAGGGAAUGGCCGCGGGAUGACGUGAAUCCCGGAAUAAGCCCCGGCUAACUACGUGCCAGCAGCCGC
RNAcentral lists this ribosomal RNA (519 nucleotides) under uncultured bacterium. RNAcentral describes it as "bacterial SSU rRNA". It matches the Rfam family "Bacterial small subunit ribosomal RNA", at positions 8 to 518 of the family's 1533-position model. The record is from RNAcentral.